GCGCUCGUAGUUCAAUUGGCAGAACAGCGGUCCUCUAAACCGUAAGCUAUCGAAGGCAAUGGUUGUAGGUUCGAGUCCUACCGGGCGCGCCA
RNAcentral lists this transfer RNA (92 nucleotides) under Caudoviricetes sp. RNAcentral describes it as "tRNA-Arg". It matches the Rfam family "tRNA". Rfam says of the family: Transfer RNA (tRNA) molecules are approximately 80 nucleotides in length. Their secondary structure includes four short double-helical elements and three loops (D, anti-codon, and T loops). Lineage: Duplodnaviria; Heunggongvirae; Uroviricota; Caudoviricetes. The record is from RNAcentral.